GUUCCUGUAGUUAAAUCCCUAUAACAGUGGCUUUUCAGGCCACAGACCCUGGAUAAAAGCCAGGCAGGAAUU
Molecule: transfer RNA, 72 nt
Filed under: Philentoma pyrhoptera (rufous-winged Philentoma)
Lineage: Eukaryota; Metazoa; Chordata; Aves; Passeriformes; Prionopidae
Description: tRNA-Glu
Rfam family: tRNA
About the family: Transfer RNA (tRNA) molecules are approximately 80 nucleotides in length. Their secondary structure includes four short double-helical elements and three loops (D, anti-codon, and T loops).
Source: RNAcentral